CCUACGGGAGGCAGCAGUGGGGAAUAUUGGACAAUGGGGGGAACCCUGAUCCAGCCAUGCCGCGUGUGUGAAGAAGGCCCUCGGGUUGUAAAGCACUUUCAGUGAGGAAGAACGCCUGGUGGUUAAUACCCAUCAGGAAAGACAUCACUCGCAGAAGAAGCACCGGCUAACUCCGUGCCAGCAGCCGCGGUAAUACGGAGGGUGCGAGCGUUAAUCGGAAUUACUGGGCGUAAAGCGCGCGUAGGUGGCUUGAUAAGCCGGUUGUGAAAGCCCCGGGCUCAACCUGGGAACGGCAUCCGGAACUGUCAAGCUAGAGUGCAGGAGAGGAAGGUAGAAUUCCCGGUGUAGCGGUGAAAUGCGUAGAGAUCGGGAGGAAUACCAGUGGCGAAGGCGGCCUUCUGGACUGACACUGACACUGAGGUGCGAAAGCGUGGGUAGCAAACAGGAUUAGAUACCCGAGUAGUC
RNAcentral lists this ribosomal RNA (465 nucleotides) under Vreelandella stevensii. RNAcentral's name for it is "partial 16S ribosomal RNA". It matches the Rfam family "Bacterial small subunit ribosomal RNA", at positions 338 to 795 of the family's 1533-position model. Lineage: Bacteria; Pseudomonadati; Pseudomonadota; Gammaproteobacteria; Oceanospirillales; Halomonadaceae. The record is from RNAcentral.